Molecule: ribosomal RNA, 395 nt
Filed under: uncultured eukaryote
Lineage: Eukaryota
Description: partial 18S ribosomal RNA
Rfam family: Eukaryotic small subunit ribosomal RNA
Source: RNAcentral
CAAUAGCGUAUAUUAAAGUUGUUGCAGUUAAAAAGCUCGUAGUUGAAUUUGUGGCGGGAGUGACCGGUCUGUUCCCGGAAACGGGGCAUGCACUUGUGUUCACGUUCCCGCCAUCCUUGGGAGGGUGCGUGCCUGGCAUUAGUUUGUCGGGUCGUGGAAUCCCAUCGUUUACUGUGAAAAAAUUAGAGUGUUUAAGGCAGGCGUUGUCUGUUGUGAAUACAUUAGCAUGGAAUAAUAAGAUAGGACUUUGUGUGCUAUUUUGUUGGUGUCAAGCACCAAGGUAAUGAUUAACAGGGAUAGUUGGGGAUAUUCAUAUUGAAAUGUCAGAGGUGAAAUUCUUGGAUUAUUUCAAGAUGAACUGAUGCGAAAGCGUUUAUCAAGGAUGUUUNCAUUAA